ACGAUGCGUAGCCGACCUGAGAGGGUGAUCGGCCACACUGGGACUGAGACACGGCCCAGACUCCUACGGGAGGCAGCAGUAGGGAAUCUUCCGCAAUGGACGAAAGUCUGACGGAGCAACGCCGCGUGAGUGAUGAAGGUUUUCGGAUCGUAAAGCUCUGUUGUUAGGGAAGAACAAGUGCCGUUCAAAUAGGGCGGCACCUUGACGGUACCUAACCAGAAAGCCACGGCUAACUACGUGCCAGCAGCCGCGGUAAUACGUAGGUGGCAAGCGUUGUCCGGAAUUAUUGGGCGUAAAGGGCUCGCAGGCGGUUUCUUAAGUCUGAUGUGAAAGCCCCCGGCUCAACCGGGGAGGGUCAUUGGAAACUGGGGAACUUGAGUGCAGAAGAGGAGAGUGGAAUUCCACGUGUAGCGGUGAAAUGCGUAGAGAUGUGGAGGAACACCAGUGGCGAAGGCGACUCUCUGGGCUGUAACUGACGCUGAGGAGCGAAAGCGUGGGGAGCGAA
RNAcentral lists this ribosomal RNA (505 nucleotides) under Bacillus subtilis. RNAcentral describes it as "bacterial SSU rRNA". It matches the Rfam family "Bacterial small subunit ribosomal RNA", at positions 276 to 772 of the family's 1533-position model. Lineage: Bacteria; Bacillati; Bacillota; Bacilli; Caryophanales; Bacillaceae. The record is from RNAcentral.